UUAGGGCUAGGGCUUGAAUGUUAUUGAUAGAUGUAAAUUUUUGUUUUAAAGAGGUUUUUUUUUUUUUUGUAUUAAAAAUUGAAUGUGGUAUAUUUAGGGCUUGAAUGUUAUUGAUGUAAUUUUUUGUUUGAAACUGUUUACUUUUGUAUAAAAAAUUGAAUGUGGUAUAUUUAGGACUUGAAUGUUAUUGAUGUAAAUUUUUGUUUGAAACUGUUUACUUUUGUAUAAAAAAUUGAAUGUAGUAUCUUUAGGGCUUGAAUGUGUCGCCUUAGCAAAGAUGGGACUCAUUGUGAAGUUAGUUGUAUAAAAAAUUGACUAGCCCGUUACAGAGAGAAUGUUGGGAUUAUAUAGUU
RNAcentral lists this long non-coding RNA (353 nucleotides) under Amborella trichopoda. RNAcentral's name for it is "long non-coding RNA (ATRI_LNC002561)". Lineage: Eukaryota; Viridiplantae; Streptophyta; Magnoliopsida; Amborellales; Amborellaceae. The record is from RNAcentral.